Molecule: ribosomal RNA, 468 nt
Filed under: uncultured bacterium
Lineage: Bacteria
Description: partial 16S ribosomal RNA
Rfam family: Bacterial small subunit ribosomal RNA
Source: RNAcentral
GACGAACGCUGGCGGCGUGCUUAACACAUGCAAGUCGAACGGAAAGGCCCUGCUUUUGUGGGGUGCUCGAGUGGCGAACGGGUGAGUAACACGUGAGUAACCUGCCCUUGACUUUGGGAUAACUUCAGGAAACUGGGGCUAAUACCGGAUAGGAGCUCCUGCUGCAUGGUGGGGGUUUGAAAGUUUCGGCGGUUGGGGAUGGACUCGCGGCUUAUCAGCUUGUUGGUGGGGUAGUGGCUUACCAAGGCUUUGACGGGUAGCCGGCCUGAGAGGGUGACCGGCCACAUUGGGACUGAGAUACGGCCCAGACUCCUACGGGAGGCAGCAGUGGGGAAUAUUGAAAAAUGGGCGGAAGCCUGAUGCAGCAACGCCGCGUGCGGGAUGACGGCCUUCGGGUUGUAAACCGCUUUCGCCUGUGACGAAGCGUGAGUGACGGUAAUGGGUAAAGAAGCACCGGCUAACUACGUG